Molecule: long non-coding RNA, 393 nt
Organism: Vigna angularis (adzuki bean)
Lineage: Eukaryota; Viridiplantae; Streptophyta; Magnoliopsida; Fabales; Fabaceae
Exons: 3
Source: RefSeq, a predicted model, not a curated record
CUACAGACCGGUAUUCCCUUCUUAUAUGCAGAAUUGCAUUGAUAUGUUGGCAGCAAAAAUGCAAGUAUAGGUGCAAGUGCCUUUCAUCAAGAAAACAUAGAGAUGAAGACUGGUUCUAUCCAAUCAUAUAAUUUGGAUGCAACAAGCAGGGUGUUCUAACCACGAAAAUUGGAUGAGAAGGCUCCACUCCAACUGCUGGUGAGGUGAAUGUAGCACCAACUAUGCUGGCUUCAACCUUUGGAUCAAGCAGUGCCUACAAUAUAUAUAUAUAUAUAUUAUAUAGCAGUGAAAAGAUGAAUCAAUUUUCUCCUAGAUGUGAAAACCACAGAAAUUAAGCUCUUUAUGGAAGCCCCACCUUCAGAAUAAUGGCUGCACCUGUUGAGUGUCCAUAGC